UACGUAGGGGGCAAGCGUUGUCCGGAAUCAUUGGGCGUAAAGCGCGUGUAGGCGGUUCGGUAAGUCUGCUGUGAAAGUCCAGGGCUCAACCCUGGGAAGCCGGUGGAUACUGUCGGACUAGAGUACGGAAGAGGCGAGUGGAAUUCCCGGUGUAGCGGUGAAAUGCGCAGAUAUCGGGAGGAACACCAAUUGCGAAGGCAGCUCGCUGGGACGUCACUGACGCUGAGACGCGAAAGCGUGGGGAGCAAACAGG
RNAcentral lists this ribosomal RNA (253 nucleotides) under uncultured bacterium. Its description in RNAcentral is "partial 16S ribosomal RNA". It matches the Rfam family "Bacterial small subunit ribosomal RNA", at positions 524 to 776 of the family's 1533-position model. The record is from RNAcentral.